RNAcentral lists this transfer RNA (69 nucleotides) under Sapayoa aenigma (broad-billed sapayoa). RNAcentral describes it as "tRNA-Gly". It matches the Rfam family "tRNA". From Rfam's summary of the family: Transfer RNA (tRNA) molecules are approximately 80 nucleotides in length. Their secondary structure includes four short double-helical elements and three loops (D, anti-codon, and T loops). Further hydrogen bonds mediate the characteristic L-shaped molecular structure. tRNAs have two regions of fundamental functional importance: the anti-codon, which is responsible for specific mRNA codon recognition, and the 3' end, to which the tRNAs corresponding amino acid is attached (by aminoacyl-tRNA synthetases). tRNAs cope with the degeneracy of the genetic code in two manners: having more than one tRNA (with a specific anti-codon) for a particular amino acid; and 'wobble' base-pairing, i.e. permitting non-standard base-pairing at the 3rd anti-codon position. The record is from RNAcentral. Lineage: Eukaryota; Metazoa; Chordata; Aves; Passeriformes; Tyrannidae.
GCCCCUCUAGUAUAUCCAAUACAACUGACUUCCAAUCUUUUAAAUCUGGUUUAAACCCAGAGAGGGACA